GAUGAACCAACACGCCUCGGAGCACAUUUAUAUGCAAAGGCAUAUAAUAUGUCCCCUGUAUCUAAUUAUCUGUCAACCUGAGGCAGUUUGUUUUCCAAAUCGGCCUCUCGGCUGUGACUUUACGAGGUCAUAAAGAAAACGAUGCCACUCUGCACUGAAACGCAAGGAGAGCCUGGAUCAACAAAUUAUACUCCUUAAUGGUGUCUCUCGGCCUGGAGAUUCAGGCCCGGCGGAAAGAAAGAAGCCCGGCCCUUGUUGCCUGCCCGCUGCCUUCUGCUAGAGAAAAGAGAAAGGGGCACACGGGGCACGGCUUAUUCGAGAGACUUCCUACUCUUGCUCAGCUGUCCUCGGCUCUGCAUUUCCUCCCGUGCGGCGGCUGUCUGUCUGGAAGUUGUUAGCCUGGCACCCUGCAGCGGGUGCUCCUGAGGUCUGCAGCCGCCCCUGGACUUGGCCGGUCUUGGGCCCCGGAGCAUCUUGAGCUCCUGAGAGGCCCCCCGAUCUUUGGCUCCACCGGAGAAAGCUUUGAUCCGCUCUGCACGAGACAGCUCCUGCCUGCACGGGCCCGAGAUUCUGGUCCCAUAGGAAAGUGGGCUGGAAGAUGUUUAUUCUGCCAUGCAUCCGCCAGCAGAAGGAGUGGGGACUCCUGGAAACUUCUAAGCAAGAGGAGAAAAUUCCUCCUCCCAAAGCAGGGAAGAUAUGUUCUCGGGCCCCAGGCUGCCCUGCCCAACUGAGAUGCUUCUCCUUUUCCAAUUCAACAGGUGAACUCCCAGUCAACCUUCAGAUCUCAAGUAUCACUUCCUCAGGGAAGCCUUCUCUGAUUUCCCUAAUUUGAUCAAAUGCUACUAUUUGAUGCUCUCAUAGGAUGAGGUAACACCCUUUGGCAUUUCUACAGCUCUCACCUUUACAUGACUUCUGUGAUUCUUUCAUAUAUGCUCCACGAGGGUGAAGGCGCAACUUUUCGUUUGCUUAUAUUUAUUUACUGUGACUGACACAAAAUGGCCCUCAAAUACCUUUAGAUGAAUGAGUGUUACAUUUGUAUGUGCGUUAUCUCACACCUGCCCAAAAUGCGGUCCCGGUCAUGCUGUGCAGGCCUCCAAUCUCUCCCUGUCCACUUAGUUUUCUCUGUCUUUACCCACACCUCUUCUUGCUUUGUGCUUCCACUAAGCCUUACCGGGCACAAGGAAGGAAUGUCUGUUUGAAGAGCUUAUCACUCCACGGGAGGAGAAAGCCAGAUGAAAUGGGACCAGACCUGAAAGACACUGAAGAUAACCCAGAGGGGCGGGACGACCACUCUCCCACCCCGUCGCGACUAUAUAGGGAAACCAGGAGCGCAGAGGCCGUGCUCAUUCAUUCUGUAUCUUAUUAACUCAUGACGAGAAGGCCAUCACACAAAAGGUGUUUGGUUUUAUGCGCCAAAUGCCUUUGGUUUUAUGGAGCCAGAAACCAUUCUGGAGAACGAUGGUGAAUGGGAAGUGGGCUCCGGGAAGGGGGAGGGGCAGGUGCCCCACGCACCUGUUGCACAGCUUCGCGAGGCCGAACCGCGCUUGGAGAGGCCAGACCGAUCCAGCAGACACGGAUCCAGCAGCCCUGCACUCCAGUCCCUCAGCCGCCCGGUCCUCCAAACAGGCCUGGCAGAGACCCCACGAGGCCGUCUUCUGACCGCCAUCCGCCUUUGCUGCAAACACAGGUUCUUCCAAGCUGGCCUCUCCGCAGACGGUACUCCUUAGGCUCUUUCUCAUUUCUGUCAGGAAAUAAAAUGGCCGAGAAGAUACCCUUAGACUCCUUUGCCACCAGCGCACCCCUCUGAAGGACAAGCACCAGCCUGGGAGCUGCCGCCUAGCCGGCAGAGGCUCACUCUCCAGCCCAGGACGGGGAGAGCGAGGCUCAGCGCAGCAUUGCUGUUUUCCCUUCACUGGCAGGUCACCUUGGCAGCUGGUGGCAAGCCUCAAGUUACGUUGGCCGGGCUGGUCCCAAGCAGAGCAUUUACGCAACUCAACCUCUAGAACUCCUGGUUCUGCUGAAAUUAGCAGGGUGGCUUGGGUCAAGUCACAUAAGCCUCCGGGCUUCGGUUUCCUCGUCAAUAAAUUGGAAUUUGUAAUCCCAAAUUCACAGGGUUAAUAGGACGAUUAAAUACAAGAGCACAAAGGAGAAGUCCUCCCGAGGAGGAGGGACUCAGAAGACUCGGAAGACGGUCCCCUCGAUCAGCUCCUGUUCUCUGAGUGGGUGAUCUGAAAUUUCCCGAGGUGUCUCUAAUAAGAUGGCUAUUAAAUCAUCUCUGUGUCUAUUGCUUUGCUCCAGCUGCCAUAACGACAUACCACAGACUGGGGGGCUUAACCAACAGAAAUUUAUUCCCUUGCAGCUCUGGAGGCCGGAAGUCUAAGAUCAACAUGUUGGUAGGCUUGAUUCCUUCUGACGCAUCUCUCCUGGGCUUGUAGAAGGCCACCUUCUCCCUCUGUGUAUGUGUCCCGUUCUCUCUCUUACAAGGACACCUAUCAUGCUCUUGGGGCCCGCCCCAAUGACCUCAUUUUAAUGACCUCAUUAAAGACCCUAUCUCCCAAUACAGUCACAUGCUGAGGUGCCAAGGGUUAGGAUUUCCACAUAUGAAUUUGGGAGCAAUACAGUUGAGCCCGAACCACGUCGUUCAAAACACAAAUACACGAUGCACAACUCUGAGGAUGUCUCAAAGUCAGACCAAGAGUAUGGGGACUCCCCCCCCCCGCCCCACAAAAGUUACAAUGCCUUCCUUCUGUGUCAUGAUGCUUUGUUUGCAAAGUCCCGUCUCGGUGUCUCCAUGCAGCCCCUCAACUGACAAAUGUAAAAAGCGAAAGGGGAGAAAUGAGCCGGGGACUUAGGGUCCCACAGGUGGUGGGUCUGGAACUGAGAUGUGUGUCUCUUACCUUUCUCUGCAUGUGACUGCACCUCGCCCCGGAGAGGUUUUCACCUCCAAACACACACCAAAGAGGGCAGAUGGCCCCCAGAGCAGACGUGUAAGUGCCUCGGGGCAAGCCUGCCGUGUGGCUGACCUGCUUGCCUGUCCCUGUCCCUCCGUUAGCACCACACCCCUUACGGUCCCAGCAGUGACUGCUCUCCAGCUCAGCCAUGGAGGGUGAUUGUGCGGGCCCGGAAGCUCGCCCUGAUGCUAAGCCGAAACAAACCACUUCCCUGGGUCUUGGGGCUGGCGGGGGGAGUGUUUUGUUUUCUUCUGUUUUGUUCGUAAAACACCCUUUGUACCCAGCCGUGGCCAAGACGGCCAUGGCCAAGAGGGACGCAAGGACGAUUGUGCUGCCUGGGCAAACACAGGGAGAGGACAACUCGGCCGUAAUGUCAGCGGGCAUAAGAAGCAGAGCUGUGGAAAUCCCUGACAAAGCUGGAGGGAAGAAAGGUACAGACGAGGCACCGAAGCAGCUCCAGCUACCAUACCGCUGUGCCCAGAAAUGGUUCUGGACUUAGGCCACCUGAUUCCCAGGACUACAGUCGGCUUUGUCUCAAGUCCAGUCGUAUAGGUACACAUCUCCAAGGUGGCAAUAUCUACUCUUCUCCAGAGUCCCAAAUUCCCCAAAGCUUUUUACUCGCCAGCGAGGAGAUGUGCCGGGGAGGACAAGUAUUUACUUUUGAUGGACUUCCUGUGGGUCAGGUGGCCAGCAGCAGAAAGAAGCGGGAGAGGACUCAGGUUCAAGACCAGUUCUGCCAACUGGCCGGCCCUGAAACUGGCCAGACCUCUUACCAUCAGGGUCAGCUUCACCAGAGAGGCCAAGAAGCCCCCUGAUGUAGUUUUGAAGAGCAUGACCUUUAGGGUUAGCUAGACCUUGGUUCAAAGGACUUACCAGAUAUGUGACCUUGACCCCAUUGCUUACCUUCCCUAAGUGGAUCUCCCCACUGGUUUUAAGGAAAAAAAAAAAAAGAGCUAAA
Molecule: long non-coding RNA, 3909 nt
Organism: Felis catus (domestic cat)
Lineage: Eukaryota; Metazoa; Chordata; Mammalia; Carnivora; Felidae
Exons: 3
Source: RefSeq, a predicted model, not a curated record